UCUACGGGAGGCAGCAGUGAGGAAUAUUGGUCAAUGGACGAGAGUCUGAACCAGCCAAGUAGCGUGAAGGAUGACUGCCCUAUGGGUUGUAAACUUCUUUUAUAUGGGAAUAAAAUGUUCCACGUGUGGGAUUUUGUAUGUACCAUAUGAAUAAGGAUCGGCUAACUCCGUGCCAGCAGCCGCGGUAAUACGGAGGAUCCGAGCGUUAUCCGGAUUUAUUGGGUUUAAAGGGAGCGUAGGUGGAUUGUUAAGUCAGUUGUGAAAGUUUGCGGCUCAACCGUAAAAUUGCAGUUGAAACUGGCAGUGUUGAGUACAGUAGAGGUGGGCGGAAUUCGUGGUGUAGCGGUGAAAUGCUUAGAUAUCACGAAGAACUCCGAUUGCGAAGGCAGCCCACUGGACUGCAACUGACACUGAGGCUCGAAAGUGUGGGUAUCAAACAGGAUUAGAUACCCUGGUAGUC
This 460-nucleotide ribosomal RNA is filed under the name uncultured bacterium. RNAcentral's name for it is "partial 16S ribosomal RNA". It matches the Rfam family "Bacterial small subunit ribosomal RNA", at positions 338 to 795 of the family's 1533-position model. The record is from RNAcentral.